GACAUGAUGAUGAUGAUGAACACUGUAUCCGUUACCGGACUCCUGCUCACCCUGACUGUGAUAUCAACUCGUCCAUCGUCUCCUCCAUCCCUGCUCCUGCUCACUCCCUCUGGUUCUCCGCUCUCUGAGGGUGAUGUCAGUGUGGUGUGUGUGGCUCGAGGCUUUUACCCUGACAGUGUGACCAUAUCCUGGUCUGAGAACAGCAACAGCAUGACGGGUGAUGAGGUUCAGACGGGUCCGUAUCAGCGUCAGGCCGACGGCACGUUCUCCCAGACCAGCAUUCUGAAGAUCAGUCAGCAGCGCUGGAGCUCCGGGAGAACCUUCGCACGCUGUCUGAGUCACCCGGAGCUUUCCACAGCACUGAGUCAGAGCACCAGCCUGGACCAGUGCAUGUAGAGAGAUCACACAGUGCUGAAAUAUGAUACACAUCAA
Non-coding RNA from Neoarius graeffei (lesser salmon catfish), 432 nucleotides. The record is from the annotation of a RefSeq genome assembly. Lineage: Eukaryota; Metazoa; Chordata; Actinopteri; Siluriformes; Ariidae.